GACGAACGCUGGCGGCGUGCUUAACACAUGCAAGUCGAGGGCACUUUGGGGGCAACCCUGAAGUGACCGGCGAACGGGUGCGUAACACGUGAGCGACCUUGCCUCGUGGUGGGGGAUAGCCGGCCCAACGGCCGGGUAAUACCGCAUAAGGUGCUUCUCUCGCAUGGGAGAGGUAGCAAAGCUGUCGGGCAACCGAUGGCGCCACAGGGGGGCGGUC
This 217-nucleotide ribosomal RNA is filed under the name uncultured bacterium. RNAcentral describes it as "partial 16S ribosomal RNA". It matches the Rfam family "Bacterial small subunit ribosomal RNA", at positions 28 to 232 of the family's 1533-position model. The record is from RNAcentral.